UGGCGGACGGGUGAGUAACGCGUGGAAAACCUGCCGUAUACUGGGGGAUAACACUUAGAAAUAGGUGCUAAUACCGCAUAAGCGCACAGCUUCGCAUGAAGCGGUGUGAAAAACUCUGGUGGUAUACGAUGGUUCCGCGUCUGAUUAGCUAGUUGGUGGGGUAAUGGCCUACCAAGGCAACGAUCAGUAGCCGGCCUGAGAGGGCGAACGGCCACAUUGGGACUGAGACACGGCCCAAACUCCUACGGAAGGCAGCAG
Molecule: ribosomal RNA, 258 nt
Filed under: uncultured bacterium
Lineage: Bacteria
Description: partial 16S ribosomal RNA
Rfam family: Bacterial small subunit ribosomal RNA
Source: RNAcentral